RNAcentral lists this ribosomal RNA (253 nucleotides) under uncultured bacterium. Its description in RNAcentral is "partial 16S ribosomal RNA". It matches the Rfam family "Bacterial small subunit ribosomal RNA", at positions 524 to 776 of the family's 1533-position model. The record is from RNAcentral.
UACGGGGGGGGCAAGCGUUGUUCGGAAUUACUGGGCGUAAAGGGCGCGUAGGCGGUGUGUCAAGUCAGGCGUGAAAGCCCCGGGCUCAACCUGGGAACAGCGCUUGAGACUGGCACGCUCGAGUUCGGGAGAGGAUGGUGGAAUUCCCAGUGUAGAGGUGAAAUUCGUAGAUAUUCGCAAGAACACCAGUGGCGAAGGCGGCUCACUGGCCCGAUACUGACGCUGAGGCACGAAAGCGUGGGGAGCAAACAGG